GAAAUGCGAUAAGUAAUGUGAAUUGCAGAAUUCAGUGAAUCAUCGAAUCUUUGAACGCACCUUGCGCUCCUUGGUAUUCCGAGGAGCAUGCCUGUUUGAGUGUCAUUAAAUUCUCAACCCUUCAAGCUUUUGUGAGCUAUGAUAGGGCUUGGACAUUGGGAGCUUGCUGGCCUUAUAAGGGUCAGCUCUCCUGAAAUACAUUAGCGGAACCGUUUGCAGUCCCGUCACUAGUGUGAUAAUUAUCUACACUGUGAUGAUUGCUCUCUAGUUUGUUCAGCUGCUAAUCGUCCAUUAUCGGACAUCAGUUAAUGAACCUCUUGACCUCAAAUCAGGUAGGAUUACCCGCUGAACUUAA
Molecule: ribosomal RNA, 355 nt
Filed under: Calvatia craniiformis
Lineage: Eukaryota; Fungi; Basidiomycota; Agaricomycetes; Agaricales; Lycoperdaceae
Description: eukaryotic LSU rRNA
Rfam family: 5.8S ribosomal RNA (bases 1-105)
Source: RNAcentral